Long non-coding RNA from Ochotona princeps (American pika), 695 nucleotides. RefSeq lists it as uncharacterized. The transcript is spliced from 3 exons. The record is from RefSeq and is a predicted model, not a curated record. Lineage: Eukaryota; Metazoa; Chordata; Mammalia; Lagomorpha; Ochotonidae.
GUAUUCCAUUUAGAAGGAAAAAUUCUACUUACUAAAUCAUCAUGAGUCAUUCAUUGUAAGAAAUAUAUUGCUCUCAAAACUGUUGAAAUGUGAAGAAACACACUGCUGUUUCUGUUUCCUUUAACACAUACAGUUAUCUCAGUGAAGAAGAGAAGUGACUUAAAGUAAAACGUGAACAAGUGACAAAUUGGGCACUACAUGGAUUUGGCAGAAACGAGGACAGUGCCGCAGCACCUACAUUAUCAAAUGGAGACAUCAAUGAUGAUGAAUGGAGAUUUCUGACACCUUGGCAUCCACAGGAAUUGGGGACAGAGCGUAUUCCGAGCCACCCAAGAGAAGGAAAAACCAUCGUGGUGUCCACUGGAGGAUUAUUGCUGAAUCCAACAACAAAACAGAAAGCUGCUGGAGACUGUGGUCUUUGGUGCCGAGGAAGGGAUCACAGAGUGGCUCAGACCAGUGCAUCGGCGUUCUAUUGGCAGCUCAGACCCUUGCCAAAGGCCCAGCUGUGACUUGCUGGUUGGACUGGUGGUACUGAUGCUUUGGUAAACUUCUUUCCAUUCUCUGGGCUCUACUCCUCACACAGUUGUCCCUGGAAUUCAUGCCCGUUUGCGCCUUCCUUCCAGAUUUCUGAAGUUGCUGGGUCUUAGCUUCAUCUCAGCAAACUGGAUGGAGUAUUCGUGGCCUUUCCAAUGGAA